UUUCAAACUCUCUCUUUCUAUCCGCUGACAUAAUUCCUCAUGUAGCGGCCAUGGAGCGAUUUAGGAAGGGCGGGACUUAUCGGCUGGCACCGCUCGCUCGCAAAUAAGCGCGCAAGCGAGCCGUCAUUCUGAGUAGUCAGGCGUCUUGUGUCUUGUGUGGUUUCAUCUUGGCGGGUGAGUCACCACUUUUUGUCCGUGGGAAGACGUCAGUCAUUCGCGCUGCCUCGGGCUAAAUGAACGCACGCCAUUUUCUGCUCGCUGCCACCUACAGACCAGGUGGCGGCGCUCACCUGUUGAUGUAGCUGAGGGCCAAGUAGGUGGGCUGCUGUUGCUCUUGCUUCUCCAGGACACGAGGAUCCGUAUCUGAAAGGAGGACACGCUGCGUGUUAAUCAAACUCUACAUUCCCACGCCGCGCCAUCACUUUACAGGCGGCAGACGUGGAGUCUGAGGACGGCAAACAAAGCCGGAGGGGAGCACCAUUAACUUCAAAAAAAGUAACCACGCCUUCUUCCAGCCGCCUGGGAAACAAAGCUACAGGGGGACAAAUGUGUCGUGCUAGCGCCAUCAAGUGUUCAGCAAAAUAUAGCGUGCUAACCAUAAUGUAAUGAAGAUGUUGGAUCAUAUCUGUACGACUAUAUUACAUCCUGUCCUCAG
Long non-coding RNA from Nerophis ophidion (straightnose pipefish), 655 nucleotides. RefSeq lists it as uncharacterized. The record is from RefSeq and is a predicted model, not a curated record. The transcript has 2 exons. Lineage: Eukaryota; Metazoa; Chordata; Actinopteri; Syngnathiformes; Syngnathidae.